This 403-nucleotide ribosomal RNA is filed under the name uncultured bacterium. Its description in RNAcentral is "bacterial SSU rRNA". It matches the Rfam family "Bacterial small subunit ribosomal RNA", at positions 356 to 773 of the family's 1533-position model. The record is from RNAcentral.
GGGGGAUAUUGCACAAUGGAGGAAACUCUGAUGCAGCAACGCCGCGUGAGGGAAGACGGUUUUCGGAUUGUAAACCUCUGUCCUUGGUGACGAAAAAAAUGACGGUAGCCAAGGAGGAAGCUCCGGCUAACUACGUGCCAGCAGCCGCGGUAAUACGUAGGGAGCAAGCGUUGUCCGGAUUUACUGGGUGUAAAGGGUGCGUAGGCGGCACUGCAAGUCAGGCGUGAAAUAUAUGGGCUUAACCCAUAGACUGCGUUUGAAACUGUGGUGCUUGAGUGAAGUAGAGGUAGGCGGAAUUCCCGGUGUAGCGGUGAAAUGCGUAGAGAUCGGGAGGAACACCAGUGGCGAAGGCGGCUUACUGGGCUUUAACUGACGCUGAGGCACGAAAGCAUGGGUAGCAAAC